AGAACGAACGUUAGCGGCGCGCCUAACACAUGCAAGUCGAGCGAGAAGGGAGUAAUCCCUGUAAAGCGGCGCACGGGUGAGUAACACGUAGGUAAUCUGCCUCGAGGUGGUGGAUAACCUUCCGAAAGGAGGGCUAAUACAGCAUGAGACCACGUCUUCGAAAGAGGAUGAGGUUAAAGCGGGCCUCUAUACAUAAGCUCGCGCCAUGAGAUGAGCCUGCGGCCCAUCAGGUAGUUGGUAGGGUAAUGGCCUACCUAGCCAAAGACCGGGUAGCUGGUCUGAGAGGAUGAUCAGCCACACUGGAACUGAGACACGGUCCAGACUCCGUACGGGAGGCAGCAGGUGGGGAAUCUUGCGCAAGUGGCGAAAGCCCUGACGCAGCGACGCCGCGUGAGUGAUGAAGGUCCUUGGGUAGUAAGC
This 420-nucleotide ribosomal RNA is filed under the name uncultured soil bacterium. RNAcentral describes it as "bacterial SSU rRNA". It matches the Rfam family "Bacterial small subunit ribosomal RNA", at positions 26 to 431 of the family's 1533-position model. The record is from RNAcentral.